AGCCAGGUAGCGCAGAGGUCGUCGCGCCCCGUCUGCAACUGGGAAGACGCCGGUUCGAAUCCGGCCCUGGCUU
This 73-nucleotide transfer RNA is filed under the name Kibdelosporangium aridum. It matches the Rfam family "tRNA". From Rfam's summary of the family: Transfer RNA (tRNA) molecules are approximately 80 nucleotides in length. Their secondary structure includes four short double-helical elements and three loops (D, anti-codon, and T loops). Lineage: Bacteria; Bacillati; Actinomycetota; Actinomycetes; Pseudonocardiales; Pseudonocardiaceae. The record is from Rfam by way of RNAcentral.